UCGAGAAUCUUUCGCAAUGGGCGCAAGCCUGACGAAGCGACGCCGUGUGAACGAAGAAGGCCUUCGGGUUGUAAAGUUCUUUCGCUAGGGAACAAGAGAGUGGUGAUAAUAACGCCAUGAUUUGAUGGUACUUGGUAAAGAAGCACCGGCUAACUCCGUGCCAGCAGCUGCGGUAAUACGGAGGGUGCAAGCAUUGAUCGGAAUUACUGGGCGUAAAGGGUGCGUAGGCGGAUUGUUAAGUCAGAUGUGAAAUUCCGCGGCUCAACUGCGGAGCUGCAUUUGAAACUGACGAUCUAGAACAUAGUUAGGGAAAACGGAAUUCCACGUGUAGCGGUGAAAUGCGUAGAUAUGUGGAAGAACACCAGUGGUGAAGACGGUUUUCUGGGCUAUAGUUGACGCUGAGGCACGAAAGCUAGGGGAGCAAACA
RNAcentral lists this ribosomal RNA (427 nucleotides) under uncultured Chlamydiales bacterium. RNAcentral's name for it is "partial 16S ribosomal RNA". It matches the Rfam family "Bacterial small subunit ribosomal RNA", at positions 355 to 774 of the family's 1533-position model. The record is from RNAcentral. Lineage: Bacteria; Pseudomonadati; Chlamydiota; Chlamydiia; Chlamydiales.